AAAACAGGCCAUAUUAGCUUGGUUCGCAAAACUAUGAACAAUGCAUAUACCGAUAAUACAUAUCACCAAUUAUAGAAGGACGAUGUAAUCAUUAAGAUCCAUACCAUAGCCACAAAAUCGGAACAUUCACGACUUAAACGACCCACUUGUAUCACUUACCCAUUGCAUGUGCCGUAAGGAAACAAUACCCAACUUCCACACUAAACUUCCCUCAAUCUAUUAAAUAUGCA
RNAcentral lists this unclassified non-coding RNA (230 nucleotides) under Hevea brasiliensis (rubber tree). Lineage: Eukaryota; Viridiplantae; Streptophyta; Magnoliopsida; Malpighiales; Euphorbiaceae. The record is from RNAcentral.